Long non-coding RNA from Pieris brassicae (large cabbage white), 263 nucleotides. RefSeq lists it as uncharacterized. The record is from RefSeq and is a predicted model, not a curated record. The transcript has 3 exons. Lineage: Eukaryota; Metazoa; Arthropoda; Insecta; Lepidoptera; Pieridae.
ACAGAGUACAGAAAAAUUACAUGAAAUUGCUGGAUUUCCUAGAAUUGUUGCCAUUGAUUGCACUCAUUUACGAAUUCAAUCAUCAUCUUAAUAUCAUACAGGUCUACUGAGAAAUCACUGGAUGGUUGUUAAUAGUGCUUACUCAAAUAUAAUAUAAUAUUUAUUAACACCAUUUCUCUGGCUGACCAGAGAUAUGAUGAAGUACACAUUAAGAAUAGGAAUACUAUAGAGAGAUAUACCGGCAGAAGUUUUAGUUCCAACAC